Molecule: ribosomal RNA, 460 nt
Filed under: uncultured bacterium
Lineage: Bacteria
Description: partial 16S ribosomal RNA
Rfam family: Bacterial small subunit ribosomal RNA
Source: RNAcentral
CCUACGGGAGGCUGCAGUGAGGAAUAUUGGUCAAUGGACGAGAGUCUGAACCAGCCAAGUAGCGUGAAGGAUGACUGCCCUAUGGGUUGUAACCUUCUUUUAUAAAGGAAUAAAACGAGGCACGUGUGCCUUUUUGCAUGUACUUUAUGAAUAAGGAUCGGCUAACUCCGUGCCAGCAGCCGCGGUAAUACGGAGGAUCCGAUCGUUAUCCGGAUUUAUUGGGUUUAAAGGGAGCGUAGAUGGGUUGUUAAGUCAGUUGUGAAAGUUUGCGGCUCAACCGUAAAAUUGCAAUUGAUACUGGCAGUCUUGAGUACAGUUGAGGUAGGCGGAAUUCGUGGUGUAGCGGUGAAAUGCUUAGAUAGCACGAAGAACCCCGAUUGCGAAGGCAGCUUACUAAACUGUGACUGACAUUGAUGCUCGAAAGUGUGGGUAUCAAACAGGAUUAGAUACCCUUGUAGUC